CGUAGGGUGCGAGCGUUGAUCGGAAUUACGUGGGCGUAAAGCGUGCGCAGGCGGUUUUGUAAGACAGAUGUGAAAUCCCCGGGCUCGAACCUGGGACCUGCAUUUGUGACUGCAAGGCUAGAGUACGGUAGAGGGGGAUGGAAUUCCGCGUGUAGCAGUGAAAUGCGUAGAUAUGCGGAGGAACACCGAUGGCGAAGGCAAUCCCCUGGACCUGUACUGACGCUCAUGCACGAAAGCGUGGGGAGCAAACAGGAUUAGAUACCCUGGUAGUCCACGCCCUAAACGAUGUCAACUGGUUGUUGGGUCGUUUACUGACCUCAGUAACGAAGCUAACGCGUGAAGUUGACCGCCUGGGGAGUACGGCCGCAAGGUUG
Molecule: ribosomal RNA, 374 nt
Filed under: uncultured organism
Description: bacterial SSU rRNA
Rfam family: Bacterial small subunit ribosomal RNA
Source: RNAcentral